GACAUGUGUCUAUGUUUGAAAUUCAGACACAUACUACAAGCGGUACACACGGCAAUAACAAAUGAUGUCCACCAAUGAUGUCAUCCGUCAUCAGCAAUUGAAAUAGCAAAGGUGGAGGAUCUUCCAAUCACUUUUCUGUUGGUGAAACCAGUCCUAUUUUGGAUGUGUAACACUGUGACCUUUGCACACAGCGUAUUGCCAUUGGAAUUACUGUUGCCCUCGGCCACGAUUUAUUGAUGGGCUUAGGGUGAUAUUUUGGGAUGCGCAAUGAAAAUGUACACUUCACAUUGGUCUGUUAACUGUCCUGCGUUGGGUAAGGCAAGCAUUCAUUGAGUCAGGAAUCUUCAGGUUACUGGAGCAGCAGAGGACAGGGACCAUGCUGGGCGGGGGGCUAUUAAUAUGAAACAAUGACGUGCUACAUCUGACGUGCCAGAGAGGCUGUCUGUUCUGUGGAUCAUCCUUGACUCCCCACCCAGUGAUGCAGGGGAAAUGCAGGACUUGGGUUAUACAACUGGAUUGGGUUAUUCCUUGAAAAUUCACCAUUGAAGUGUUCAGGAUGAUGGAGGUGAAUUCAAGUCCUAUCACAGCACUCCACCCGCUGGCUGUUCUGGACAUUGUCCUCACACUGGCCAAUCAUGCUCAUGUUAGCAGCAGGUAUGCCGCGCUCAUAUUAACAUCAGAUGCUUGGAGAUAGAGAAGCGAACCAGUGAGCACAAAGCAUACCAGAGUGAUAAAGUCUGCUGCCACCAGAGCUUUGGGAGUGCCCGUAAAGUAACCACCUGUCGCCUGUAAAUCCCUCAACUCUUUAGCCGGAAUCCUGCAAACAUGCAACCCCUAUGUUGAGUUGACCUUUGGGGAGUGGGCAAAUCUGCCGGCUACAUCUCCAACUUGAUGCCACUCAAUCCCUCGCUAAUAUGGAAAUAAUUAGAUUGGGAAAAGGUGAAAGAUCGUUGGGACACAACUUGGCAGUCUGUCAGGAUGGGAUCAACGCGGUUUUCCAAUGGAAGCGAGCGAGACACCAGGGAUAUCUCAUACACUGAAUAUGAUGCUGCCCCCUCACCCCUACCCCUGACACUGGUCAUUUCUCCUUCUGCCAGCACAUGAGGGCCAUUAUCACAGUACAGCAAGUGGUACAUGUGUGUGUCCAGUUACAAUCAAAAUAAUGUUUGUUGUCAAACAGCAGCAGGAAGUCUUGCAAUGCUUGUUGGUUUUACACAAACGCGCGCGCACGCACACA
Molecule: long non-coding RNA, 1237 nt
Organism: Engraulis encrasicolus (European anchovy)
Lineage: Eukaryota; Metazoa; Chordata; Actinopteri; Clupeiformes; Engraulidae
Exons: 4
Source: RefSeq, a predicted model, not a curated record